Molecule: long non-coding RNA, 1097 nt
Organism: Hirundo rustica (Barn swallow)
Lineage: Eukaryota; Metazoa; Chordata; Aves; Passeriformes; Hirundinidae
Exons: 4
Source: RefSeq, a predicted model, not a curated record
GCUGGCACUGACUGGAAGCUCUGCUGAAGGAAAGGACUGAAUUCCUUAGAGCACCUGCAUAAACACAAACAAAACCACUGAAGAUGGAAGAUGAUAGCAGUGAACUCUGCUCCAAAGGGAGGCAGAUGGGAUCUCCUUAAGUGACAGAGAUGUGACUGUGGUGAUGACAAUAUCGUACUUCAAAAUCAAACCAACAGUAUGCUGUGAUCAUUAUUCUUUUCCACACAACUAAAAGUGACACAGCCAGCUUUCUCCACAUUUUAUUACGCGGGAGAAACCUAGAUUCCCACACAUGAACAUGCAGCAGCUUCCUCGGAAAGAGACACGUCUGCUUAAUUUUUGGGAAGGCUUUGGUGGAGCUCUGUCCCGGAGCACCCGCUGGCAGCAGGCGUCACUCGGACAGGAUGGAGCGCCAUGCAACAGCCUGCAAGCAAAUCCCAGCAGCUUCACCAACCUCAUCACACGGAAGAGACGGAAAAAAGUGAUGGAGAUCCGAGCGCUGUCCUCAGAGUUCUGAAGAGCAUCACAGAGAAGUCAAACCAAAUACAAACCCAAACAUGCAACACUUCCAGAAAAACAACAUAAAAUGCAAAGGUGGAAGAGAAAUUCAGUCAGUCAUGAGAUUCUCACAGCAUAACACAAGACCAGGAAGAAAUUUCCAGGUGAAUCUGUUGCCCAAACACCUAUUACGUGCAACUGCCAUCAGACAAAAUUCUGGUAAGCUAUGGAGUUUUCCAAGUACUUUAAGAGUAAUUCAAACUUCCAAACUUACUGCAGGAUAUGAAAAGCAAAAAGACGGGGAAAAAAAAACCCAAAAACCAUUCUAUUUUCCUCAACAUGGAAAGCCUGACUUUCUAUGUGCCCUUCUGCUUCCUCAUGAGAUACGACUGCCAGCACCCCUCCAAACCCAAACAUCUAGCAGAAAAAGAAAUUAUCAUUUGUUAAACCAAGCCACUGAAAACUUACAGAAUCUUGAAUUAUCUUGGUCAAGUUACCUAGAAAAGCAACAGGCUUCAAGUAAGAUAGUAACAUAAGCUCGAUUCCUUUUUUUUUUAAUGUUUCCUGUGCAUAUAUAGAAAACAACUUUUAUUGUCUCA